GCGAAAAUAGCUCAGCUGGUAGAGCACAACCUUGCCAAGGUUGGGGUCGCGGGUUCGAAUCCCGUUUUUCGCUCCACACC
Molecule: transfer RNA, 80 nt
Filed under: Anopheles darlingi
Lineage: Eukaryota; Metazoa; Arthropoda; Insecta; Diptera; Culicidae
Description: tRNA ADAC011077
Rfam family: tRNA
About the family: Transfer RNA (tRNA) molecules are approximately 80 nucleotides in length. Their secondary structure includes four short double-helical elements and three loops (D, anti-codon, and T loops).
Source: RNAcentral